CUACGGGACGCUGCAGUGGGGAAUAUUGCACAAUGGGCGCAAGCCUGAUGCAGCCAUGCCGCGUGUAUGAAGAAGGCCUUCGGGUUGUAAAGUACUUUCAGCGGGGAGGAAGGGAGUAAAGUUAAUACCUUUGCUCAUUGACGUUACCCGCAGAAGAAGCACCGGCUAACUCCGUGCCAGCAGCUGCGGUAAUACGGAGGGUGCAAGCGUUAAUCGGAAUUACUGGGCGUAAAGCGCACGCAGGCGGUUUGUUAAGUCAGAUGUGAAAUCCCCGGGCUCAACCUGGGAACUGCAUCUGAUACUGGCAAGCUUGAGUCUCGUAGAGGGGGGUAGAAUUCCAGGUGUAGCGGUGAGAUGCGUAGAGAUCUGGAGGAAUACCGGUGGCGAAGGCGGCCCCCUGGACGAAGACUGACGCUCAGGUGCGAAAGCGUGGGGAGCAAACAGGAUUAGAUACCCCAGUAGUC
This 464-nucleotide ribosomal RNA is filed under the name uncultured bacterium. Its description in RNAcentral is "partial 16S ribosomal RNA". It matches the Rfam family "Bacterial small subunit ribosomal RNA", at positions 339 to 795 of the family's 1533-position model. The record is from RNAcentral.